UUCUCAAAUAUCGUCACUAUUUAUCUACCCAUCUAAUUUUAGUGACGAUAUUCACGAAUAUGAGGAUAUUCGCGAAUGUUCACAUAUUCUCAUAUUCGGUACAGUAAAUAGUAUAGGAGGCUUCUUUAGACCACAAGCUGGAAGCAAGGAGGGAUGAGAUCACUGUGAUGUGUUCUGUGUGAAAAAAAAAUUAUGAACAUUCGUCAUUAUGAAUAGAUAGCGCUAUAUUCGCGAAUAUGCAAAAUUUGUGAUAAAUAUUCAAAAUGGCGAAUAUUCAAGCUCAACACUACAAACAACUAUAAAUGCUGAUUGGAUUUAGUGUAACACAUUAUGCUUUUAUGUGCCCAUAUUGUUAAAAAAUGACAGCCCAAAAUUAAUACUUGGACAAACCAUGUGUGGUGCAGCGGGAAAGCAAUUAUUCUGUAAAACAUUGCUGAUUUCAGGAAGCUAAGGUAUAAAAUGACUGACACUGUAGCAAUGCAGUAUAAAUCAUCUGACUUAUUUACAUCCAAUGAGGCAUGAUUCAGUGGGAAGAUUGAAUGUGCAUAAAAAUGUGACCACAUGAAAUACAAACAAAACAGAAUGAUAUACUGCAUAAGAAUAGCUUAUAUCAUAUAAGACUGCAAAAUGUACAAAAAGGCUGUAUUGUUAAAUAGAAACUGACAGGCUAUUCAUCCUCACUAAACAAAUAUACUGGGUUAUAGUGAACAGUUUUAAAAAAAAAUCAUCACUUACUUUAAUCUGUUGAGUAUUUGUAGGUGCCAUCGCCUUCUGGGUGUAGCGAGGCAGCGGCUCCUGUGCUCUGCUCAGUGACGAGGUGGUGCUCUAUGCAAGAUUUCUGUCAGAGGAGUGAAGAGAAAAAUGAGAAGAGUUGUCCAAGAACCAAGGACCACUUGUGGAGACAUUCAAAAAGACCUGGAAUUAGCAGGUUGCAGUGCGACCCGAGACAUUACAUCACUUGUCAGGCAUACAAAGGAGCCUGUCUGCUUCAAUGGGUUGAGCGACCGCCAGGUAGGGGAAAGAUCAUUCUCCAAAGGACUGCAGGAAAUUGUCCCAGGUGUGUUUCAAUGGGUGCCGUGGUUGAUGUGUGGGAGGAUGAAAAGUGACCUCCCACUUACAAACAAGGGACCCUGGGACUUGUAGUUGAAGGGAACUCCAACAUAAAAAUAGGCCUUUCACGAAAAGAAAGCAGCAGCAUUGUGGUGGACUCACAACACAGCCAUUUAGCACCAGGACAAGCACAGACCCUUCCUAAGCAUGUCCAUUAGUGUCUGACAGGUUAGUACUAAAAUUACCUUACGGUGGAUAACCCCUUUAACAGACAUGUGGAUUGGGAUUAUCUAACAUCAGCAAAAUGACCUUGUGUUGAUCUGGUGACUGACAUUUCA
Long non-coding RNA from Hyla sarda, 1388 nucleotides. RefSeq lists it as uncharacterized. The record is from RefSeq and is a predicted model, not a curated record. NCBI's taxonomy places the organism in Eukaryota, Metazoa, Chordata, Amphibia, Anura, Hylidae. The transcript is spliced from 3 exons.